AAAGGAAAUUGACAUACAAGUCCAGAAAGCACUGAGAAUCCCAAACAAGAUGGACCCAGAGAGGACUAUACCAAGAUAUGACAUAAUUAAAAUGCCAAAGGUUAAAGAUAAAGAAAGAAUCUUAAAAGCAGCAAGAGAAAAGCAGAGGGUUACCUACAAAGGAGUUCCCAUCAGACUGU
Phyllostomus discolor (pale spear-nosed bat) is the source of this 179-nucleotide long non-coding RNA. RefSeq lists it as uncharacterized. The record is from RefSeq and is a predicted model, not a curated record. NCBI's taxonomy places the organism in Eukaryota, Metazoa, Chordata, Mammalia, Chiroptera, Phyllostomidae. The transcript has 3 exons.